This 229-nucleotide ribosomal RNA is filed under the name uncultured bacterium. RNAcentral's name for it is "partial 16S ribosomal RNA". It matches the Rfam family "Bacterial small subunit ribosomal RNA", at positions 104 to 334 of the family's 1533-position model. The record is from RNAcentral.
CGGGGCGAGUAAUGUCUGGGAAACUGCCUGAUGGAGGGGGAUAACUGCUGGAAACGGUAGCUAAUACCGCAUAACGUCGCAAGACCAAAGAGGGGGACCUUCGGGCCUCUUGCCAUCGGAUGUGCCCAGAUGGGAUUAGCUAGUAGGUGGGGUAACGGCUCACCUAGGCGACGAUCCCUAGCUGGUCUGAGAGGAUGGCCAGCCACACUGGAACUGAGACACGGUCCAG